RNAcentral lists this ribosomal RNA (497 nucleotides) under uncultured bacterium. Its description in RNAcentral is "partial 16S ribosomal RNA". It matches the Rfam family "Bacterial small subunit ribosomal RNA", at positions 28 to 507 of the family's 1533-position model. The record is from RNAcentral.
GACGAACGCUGGCGGCGUGCCUAAUACAUGCAAGUCGAGCGCUGAAGGUUGGUACUUGUACCAACUGGGUGAGCAGCGAACGGGUGAGUCGCGCGUGGGGAAUCUGCCUUUGAGCGGGGGACCACAUAUGGAAACGCAUGCUAAUACCGCAUAAAAACUUUAAACACAAGUUUUAAGAUUGAAAGAUGGAAUUGCAUCACGCAAACGUGCUACCGCGUUGUAUUAGCUAGAUGGUGAGGUAAAGGCGCUCCAAGGCGAUGAUACAUAGCCGACCUGCGAGGGGGAGCGGCCAUAUUGGGAUGGAGACCCGCCCCAAACCCCUGCGGGAGGCAGCAGUCGGGAAUCUUCGGCAAUGGACGAAAGUUGGACCGAGCAACGCCGCGCGAGGGAAGAAGGUCUUCGGAUCGUUAAACUCUGUUGGGUGGUAAGAUCGUUGGUGAGAGUGGAAAGCUCAUCAAGUGACGGUAACUACCCAGAAAGGGACGGCUAACUACGUG